This 453-nucleotide ribosomal RNA is filed under the name uncultured bacterium. Its description in RNAcentral is "bacterial SSU rRNA". It matches the Rfam family "Bacterial small subunit ribosomal RNA", at positions 8 to 507 of the family's 1533-position model. The record is from RNAcentral.
AGAGUUUGAUCAUGGCUCAGAACGAACGCUGGCGGCAGGCCUAACACAUGCAAGUCGAGCGGGGACUUCGGUCCUAGCGGCGGACGGGUGAGUAACGCGUGGGAACGUACCCUUUGGUACGGAAUAGCCUCGGGAAACUGGGAGUAAUACCGUAUGUGCUCUUCGGAGGAAAGAUUUAUCGCCAAAGGAUUGGCCCGCGUUGGAUUAGGUAGUUGGUGGGGUAAUGGCCUACCAAGCCGACGAUCCAUAGCUGGUUUGAGAGGAUGAUCAGCCACACUGGGACUGAGACACGGCCCAGACUCCUACGGGAGGCAGCAGUGGGGAAUCUUAGACAAUGGGGGAAACCCUGAUCUAGCCAUGCCGCGUGAUCGAUGAAGGCCUUAGGGUUGUAAAGAUCUUUCAGUGGGGAAGAUAAUGACGGUACCCACAGAAGAAGCCCCGGCUAACUCCGUG